UUAGGAAUGAGUAGAACUCUAGAUGACAACAUGGUUGUAGAUUGUGGGGAAGGGGAGAAGUCACACACAACUACGUGCAAACAUAGUACUAAGCCAUUAACAACACAAAAGGAAGAGGAAAAGGAGGAGGGUCACAAGGAACCUGGAGCAUUUCCUAGUGGACUCAGGGAACAGGGCGGGAGACACCCUUCGCAGGGCACAAUCACAUAAACACUAUGGACAAUUUAGGGAUGCCAAUCAGCCUACAGCACAUAUCUUUGGACUGGGGGAGGAAACCAGAGUACCCGGAGGAAACCCCCAAAACAUGGGGAGAACGUUCAAGGCACACAGUGCGGAGGCAGGAAUCAAACCCCAACCCCAGAGAUGAGAAGAGUGUGGAGAGUCCAUGGGAGGUGUGAAUGGGAGCCUUCCUUCAACAGGCAUUUUACUGCGUUAAGAGAAACCACCAUUGUUUAUUGAUUAUUAUAUAGCUUACUCAAUACUAUAAGCUGCAUUACAACUCUAUUACCACUGUUGAGGCUGAUGAUACUCAUAUAUACCUGUGCUUUUGUCCAGAAUAUCUGUCAGAACACAUUGGUAUCCCAGCCUAAAUUAACGAUCACCAUUUCUCAACAUUUUGAAACCAGCAUUUAAAAAUUUUUUAUCCUGCCAAGUCCCUUACAUUAACAAAAGCUUUUCAGGAGAGAAACAUUUUAUCUCAUUGACUAUCAUCGACAAAUCUUAGGGUCAUGGUUGGUGACAAGACCAACUUCAUGGCAGUAUCUCAGUCUUGCUUUGCUCUAUUUAAUAUCAGGAAGAUCAGAGUUUUGUAAUACAUGACACAGCCUCUUGUCCAGACACUUGUCAUCUCUGUUGACAGAAUCAAAAUAUGAUUGUGAAAAUGUGUCUGGUCUUCAAUCUAUGAAAAUGUGCACUUCUUACUCACCUGGCAAGUUCAUGUCCUUCAUGCUUGUUUAUAGUGUAAUCCAGUUGUUCCUAACCCUAGUCCUGGAAUACCCCUGCCCAGCAUACUAUAUAUAUAUUUUAUGCUAUUUAUGCUAUUUCAUACUAUAUAUGUUUUAUCACAUCUAACCUACUAAUCAACUAAUUAUUAGGCCCUUCCAGGCCACUGGAGUAACCAGUAGAACCUUGCCUCCAUGGAGUCACUUGUCAGGAGAAAUCCAUCCUGAUUGCUAGGGUUUGCAAGUGGCAAUGAGACAAUAGAUAAUUGUAUCCCUUAGAAAAGUUUACAGUGACAUGUUUCAUUCAUUUUGAGUCACUGCUUUACCCUGACUAGGGUGGGUGUGGAUCUGGAGCACAGUGGGCUUUGAGGAAGUAAUAUGUGCUUACCAUUCACUAACCAUGCACUCAUACAAACCAAGAGCAAUUCAGCGUUGCUCAUCCACCUACUGGCAUGAAUUUGAGGGAGGAAACCGGAGGAAGGAAACCCAUGGACACAGAGAGAACAUGCAAAACUCUGCACAGACUCGAGCUUGGGAUCAGACCAGGGACCCUGGAGCUGCGAGACAUCAAGGCUACCCACUGUGCCAUCAUGCUGCCCUCACUGUGUGGUGUUGAAUCUAAAAUCAGACUUACUCAUGGUUGCAUGAUGGUGGUAUGAACUGCCAAAAUGUGUUUGCUCUUCAGCUUUCCUUGUGUUCAGUGGCUGUGCCUUCUGUUCUUGCUAUGGGCAUCUUGCACUUGCAUGUAUUCAGUGCAUAGAUGCUU
Molecule: long non-coding RNA, 1707 nt
Organism: Ictalurus punctatus (channel catfish)
Lineage: Eukaryota; Metazoa; Chordata; Actinopteri; Siluriformes; Ictaluridae
Exons: 3
Source: RefSeq, a predicted model, not a curated record